UGGGUGACCUGCCCUCAGCUCUGGGAUAAAGCCGGGGAAACUGGGUCUAAUACCGGAUAUGACCUCUCAUCGCAUGGUGGGUGGUGGAAAGUUUUUUCGGCUGGGGAUGGGCCCGCGGCCUAUCAGCUUGUUGGUGGGGUGAUGGCCUACCAAGGCGACGACGGGUAGCCGGCCUGAGAGGGCGUCCGGCCACACUGGGACUGAGACACGGCCCAGACUCCUACGGGA
Molecule: ribosomal RNA, 228 nt
Filed under: uncultured bacterium
Lineage: Bacteria
Description: partial 16S ribosomal RNA
Rfam family: Bacterial small subunit ribosomal RNA
Source: RNAcentral